UGUAGGCGGGCGAAGCGGGAUGAAGAGCCGUUCUAGGCAAACGCUGUUUCCGUACCCAGCAAGCCUUGCGGCAUUCUUACUUUACAAUCAUCCGUUUGUGACCUUUCUUUCCUGGGGUUUCUCUGACUUUGAAGAUGCUGGGUAAUAUUUCAAAGUUGUGGGCUAUGUAUAAACCUUCACAAGAAUUUCAACCUAUCGUGUUUUCUGCGAUCUUAACGGGAUACCUUUUUUACAGACUUGAAUUUGGAGGUAAAAAUGCAGCGGAAAAAGAGAAGAGGAGAACCAGCCCUCAGCAUCAUUAAAACUUGCAAUCUUCAGUAUGAAUUUUUGAACUGUCAUCCUAGCUGUAAACGAGCUGAGCUACAUCAUGGGAAACUAAUUAUUCUGUAAGCAGUGUGCAUCAUUAGCACAGUGGUAAUCUGCCAUUUGUCGUGGAGUGAAUAAAUGUGGUGUUCAAGAAG
Molecule: long non-coding RNA, 461 nt
Organism: Notechis scutatus (mainland tiger snake)
Lineage: Eukaryota; Metazoa; Chordata; Lepidosauria; Squamata; Elapidae
Source: RefSeq, a predicted model, not a curated record